UGGGGAAUAUUGGACAAUGGGCGAAAGCCUGAUCCAGCCAUGCCGCGUGUGUGAAGAAGGUCUUCGGAUUGUAACGCACUUUAAGUUGGGAGGAAGGGCAGUAAGCGAAUACCUUGCUGUUUUGACGUUACCGACAGAAUAAGCACCGGCUAACUCUGUGCCAUCAGCCGCGGUAAUACUGAGUGUGCAAGCGUUAAUCGGAAUUACUGGGCGUAAAGCGCGCGUAGGUGGUUCGUUAAGUUGAAUGUGAAAGCCCCGGGCUCAACCUGCGAACUGCAUCCAAUCCUGGCUAGCUAGAGUAGGGCAGAUGGUGGUGGAAUUUCCUGUGUAGCGGUCAUAUGCGCAGAUAUAGGAAGGAACACCAGUGGCGAAGGCGACCACCUGGGCUCAUACUGACACUGAGGUGCGAAAGCGUGGUGAGCAAACAGG
Molecule: ribosomal RNA, 429 nt
Filed under: Pseudomonadota bacterium
Lineage: Bacteria; Pseudomonadati; Pseudomonadota
Description: Proteobacteria bacterium partial 16S ribosomal RNA
Rfam family: Bacterial small subunit ribosomal RNA
Source: RNAcentral